Molecule: long non-coding RNA, 2585 nt
Filed under: Polistes fuscatus (common paper wasp)
Lineage: Eukaryota; Metazoa; Arthropoda; Insecta; Hymenoptera; Vespidae
Description: uncharacterized LOC122521862
Source: RNAcentral
UGAUCAAAGAGACGAAAGUAACGAACGAAAUAACAACGCGAGCGAAAAAGUUAAAGAGAAGGGUGGGGGUUGGUGGCAGGUGGUGGUAGUGGAAGUGAAAAGAUAGAGAUAGAGAGGAAGAAAGAGAUAGAAAGAGAAAGUAACGUCGGUUGAAAUUUUCAGUUAAUUUAACAGGAGAGACCGCGGGAUUGACCGAGCGCGAGCACAGCCGGCAAAUGCCAUUUAUUGCAAAUCGAUCGCACUUACUCGUCGUCCGCUUUGACAUCCUCGCGGCGUUCGCUCGUCCGCGACAAACAAUAGCUCGCAACAACGAUUAAUUAUAUGUUGCCAGUGGCAGAGCGCGAUAUAAAUCACACAAUCAAUUUUCCUCCCGCUCUAGCGGCUUGCUCUUGGCACGUACACCAAUCGUAAGCCGUUUGAGAGGACCAAUUCUCAUCCAUCCUCUCUCACUCUCUCUCUCUCUCUCGCUCUCUCUCUCGUUUAUAUACGUUAUGUCCUACUCCCUUUUUACUUCUUUCCUAUCGAGCAUAACCGAGAGUAUGUAUUCCAUGGAGACGAUUUAAAGUUAAAAAGCUUUUGGUACUUCUAUUGAUACGUCAUGCGAGAGACGAGAGAGAGAGAGAGAGAGAGACAUUCCACCUGAUUCCGUUCGAAUACGCUUACUGCGUUUUACGAACUUUCGACUUUCGCGUUAUUUUCGUUUUAUCAUCGUAAAACUAUAAGAUAAAGUUUCGUGCAAGCAUCGAACAAAACCUUCUAACAGUGUAAUACGUAUUAUAUUUAUUUUCAUUCCCUAUGUGUGCUAUCUACACGAAUGGUACGUACGGUUGGCUCUUCCAACAAACGCGUAUCGAGAUUUAUCGAAUCGUGGGUAAAUGCUCCCUCUCGUUGGGUAGAUUCUUUCCAUCGGUGAAAUCUAAUUGGAAAAGCGUCGCAUGGAUGAAAGAGAAAAAGUAUCCACGCUUGACACAACGUUAUACAUUCGUUAAAUAUUUAACCAAGGACAAUACUUCUUAAAGGGAAUCCCUUGCUACUGUUCUGAGGUCCAAAAGACGAUGAAGACAGAAGGACAGAAGAGCAGAAGAAGAAGCAGAAGAAGAAUAGAAGAAGAAGUUAAUGGAAGGAAGUGUUCUAUUUCUGUACAAUAAUCCUCAGGAAACGUUGAAUCAUGUUUCAUCUCCAGGUUUACAUCUUGUCUGCGCGACGGAUUCUCUAGUAGUAGAGUAAAGGAAUAUUUGAAUAGUAGUACUUCCAUUCCGUAUAAACACCACAGGCGUAUCCAUUGCCUUGGAAUUUGCCGUGAGAACGAUAAAUAUCUCAAGUAAAACAUACACACAUACACAUAUAUAUAUACAUACACACUGUCGGCUGAGGUUCGUUUCACUUGUCUUGAUCGGUAAUAGGAGGAAGAACUAUAAGACAGAUAUACGUAUAUGUAUGGAAGGUUUGUUGGUAUUGGAUACCAUCAUUUCUUCGUUAAACUGUACUGUAAUUACUACGGAGAGACAGGAUGAAAAUCCAAAGUGGGUGGGGUGGGCUUUGGUUGGGGGUGUUUUAAAAAGCCCCCUUCGACUAUUAUGCAUAUCCUUAGCAAAAUCCCCUACGGCCGCGAAGCCGGAAAAGCCAAAGGCGUAAAGAGCCCGGUAUUCUGAAAUGAGAUCCCUUUCUUCCUUCGAAACUCAACUAAAUGAAAAACUCUACUACAGCUCCGACCUCUAGGAGCUUUUAUUGUUUUCGUGAAAAAAAAAAAAGAAAAAAAAAAGAAACUGGAGGGAACGAAAGAUACGAAAGGGUGAGGGGAUUGGGGAGAGAAAAGAAAAGAAAAAAAAAAAAGAAAAAGAAGAAAGAAAGGAAGAGGCAAAAUAAGGACAUUGAGUAUUCUUUUUACUAAGCUUUCACCCUAAACUAUUCGAUCGGAGGUAAAUUCUUUUUAAUCGAUUUACUCGUUCAAAUGCAACCAUCGAUUUUGAUUUCUUUCUUUUUUAAUAAUCUCGACCAUCUUAUUUAUUUCAAGAUAGAAAAUUAUUAAUAAUGUUCGUAUUCGGUUUCUUCGAUGCGUACAUUAUAAAUAGAAAUAAAAAUAAAGAACCCAUGCGUAAUAGGAAUUGACUGACGUCCGUGAUAUUUUUUGAAUUCUUCUCAAAAUACACAUAUAACUGUGUAUAUAUAUAUAUAUACAUAUUUAAGUAAACAAACGUGAGUUUAGAAAAAAUAUAUAUUCAACCGGCCGCAAUGAAGCUCGCCCUAGGGGAACGAUACGAUUUUUUAAUCUCACGGAUGGAAAUGUUUGCGUCGACGCGUCGACGAACCAACCACCAGUCACGUUGUUCCGUAUAUAUUCGUUCGUAUUUAAUUUCGCAUGGAAAUCGUUGCGUGUAUCACAAAGGUAACCGAUUAAUAUUCCUAUCUUUUCAAAAGUUAUCUUGAUUUUGGCUUGAGUUUUUUCAUGUUUUUUUUUUGUUUUUUUUUAUUUUUAUUUCCUCUCUUUCUCUCUCUCGAUUUAUCUUUCAAUCCGAAUGAAAAGUUUCAUCGGGAGAUACUUCGUUGCGUUUUACGAAAUAUCACUUCUGAUAGAUGGUGAAAAA